Molecule: long non-coding RNA, 634 nt
Filed under: Ananas comosus (pineapple)
Lineage: Eukaryota; Viridiplantae; Streptophyta; Magnoliopsida; Poales; Bromeliaceae
Description: long non-coding RNA (ACOM_LNC020483)
Source: RNAcentral
UAGUAUUAUUCGGUUUAAAAGUUAUGAUCUAUAGUUAAAUUCACAAGUUUUUGUUGGCUUAAAUGGGUCAGCAUUCUGCCCUGUGACAGGAUGCCAUGUUGGGCUGAGUCACGUUCGAAAUGCCGUGACUCUGGAUCGGCCAAGUCAUAUUCGAAGUGGCGUGAGGUCGGGUGGGCCGAGUCACAAUUGAGAUCUGUGGGCACUGUAUUUAUACACUUUAAGUGAAUUGGUUGCGUAUUUCGAACAACUCGAACUUUUGGAAUUAAUGGUUAGCGCCAACGAUCCGACAAGUGGCAUUAGAGCCAAAGAUCAUUGGUUUGAUUCCCGCAUGUUGCAAAUGUGUUUAGAUGGACCAGGAUCCUGUCCUGUGACGGAAGGUUAUGUUAAGCCGAGUCAUGUUCGAAGUGGGCCCUACUUGUGACGGGAGGUUAUAUUGGGCAGAGUCAUGUUCAAAAUGGCGUGAGGUCAACGCUUUAAGUGAAUUGGUUGCGUAUGUCUAACAGCUCGAGCAUUUGGUAUUAAUAGUUAGCGCCAACGAUCCGACGGUUUAACUAUCUAACUUUAGCUUUGGAAUUAAUAAUUAGCGCCAACGAUCUGACAGGUUAACUACCUAACUUGGAGUUUCUCUUUUACG